CAAGCCCUGGAAACGGGGUCUAAUACCGGAUAACACUCUGUCCCGCAUGGGACGGGGUUAAAAGCUCCGGCGGUGAAGGAUGAGCCCGCGGCCUAUCAGCUUGUUGGUGGGGUAAUGGCCUACCAAGGCGACGACGGGUAGCCGGCCUGAGAGGGCGACCGGCCACACUGGGACUGAGACACGGCCCAGACUCCUACGGGAGGCAGCAGUGGGGAAUAUUGCACAAUGGGCGAAAGCCUGAUGCAGCGACGCCGCGUGAGGGAUGACGGCCUUCGGGUUGUAAACCUCUUUCAGCAGGGAAGAAGCGAAAGUGACGGUACCUGCAGAAGAAGCGCCGGCUAACUACGUGCCAGCAGCCGCGGUAAUACGUAGGGCGCAAGCGUUGUCCGGAAUUAUUGGGCGUAAAGAGCUCGUAGGCGGCUUGUCACGUCGGAUGUGAAAGCCCGGGGCUUAACCCCGGGUCUGCAUUCGAUACGGGCUAGCUAGAGUGUGGUAGGGGAGAUCGGAAUUCCUGG
RNAcentral lists this ribosomal RNA (515 nucleotides) under uncultured Streptomyces sp. Its description in RNAcentral is "bacterial SSU rRNA". It matches the Rfam family "Bacterial small subunit ribosomal RNA", at positions 144 to 673 of the family's 1533-position model. Lineage: Bacteria; Bacillati; Actinomycetota; Actinomycetes; Kitasatosporales; Streptomycetaceae. The record is from RNAcentral.